UACGACGACCAAAGGGCCACGGGUUCCUGGGUCGUUUCUCAUUUCCGUCGAGUUAAACGUCUGGGGCUGCUUCUGAGGAAUCAGCUUGACUGGGACUUUGUAUUCAGCCUUCUGCAUGGAGCUGGCCUCACGUGGCUUUGUGGUUGCUGUGCCAGAGCACAGGGACCGGUCAGCGGCAACCACCUAUUUCUGCAAGCAGGCCCCAGAAGAGAACCAGCCCACCAAUGAAUUGCUGCAAGAGGAAUGGAUCCCUUUCCGUCGAGUUGAGGAAGGGGAGAAGGAAUUUCAUGUUCGGAAUCCCCAGGUGCAUCAGCGGGUAAGCGAGUGUUUACGGGUGUUGAAGAUCCUGCAAGAGGUCACUGCUGGGCAGACUGUCUUCAACAUCUUGCCUGGUGGCUUGGAUCUGAUGACUUUGAA
This 417-nucleotide small RNA is filed under the name Pan troglodytes (chimpanzee). RNAcentral's name for it is "processed transcript". Lineage: Eukaryota; Metazoa; Chordata; Mammalia; Primates; Hominidae. The record is from RNAcentral.